GAAAUGCGAUAAGUAAUGUGAAUUGCAGAAUUCAGUGAAUCAUCGAAUCAUUGAACGCACAUUGCGCCCGCCAGUAUUCUGGCGGGCAUGCCUGUUCGAGCGUCAUUUCAACCAUCAAGCUUUAGGCUUGUGUUGGAGCCCUGCGGCUGUCCGGAGGCCCCUAAAUACAGUGGCGGGCUCGUUACCACACGGAGUGCACUAGUUUUCUUUCUCGCUCAGGGCGUGAAGUGGGUGCUAGUCGUGAAACCCCUUUUUCACACGGUUGACCUCUUAUCAGGUAGGAAUACCCGCUGAACUUAA
Molecule: unclassified non-coding RNA, 300 nt
Filed under: uncultured Sordariales
Lineage: Eukaryota; Fungi; Ascomycota; Sordariomycetes; Sordariales
Description: sequence contains ITS1
Rfam family: 5.8S ribosomal RNA (bases 1-105)
Source: RNAcentral